Long non-coding RNA from Bos indicus x Bos taurus (hybrid cattle), 1120 nucleotides. The record is from Ensembl. NCBI's taxonomy places the organism in Eukaryota, Metazoa, Chordata, Mammalia, Artiodactyla, Bovidae.
GAGGAAUCGAGAAUCAUAGUUCAGCAAGAGACCUGGGCUUAUUCUAGUGGUACUGGUUCCUGGGAACACAGAAACUCUCGGUGUUUUUGUCAAUCUGCAUGUGCCCGUCUUGGAACAGCUCAGUGAAAGAAGGAAACUGGCUAAACAAGUUUCAGAGGUGAACCUGCUGGUAACUGUACCUCUGGUUUAUCGUGAAUAAUGAAGACGUCCCGCCAUCCAGGGCGCGGGUCACAGAACUGCGUGGAGCCAAUUGCCCAGCAAACCAAAGACUACAGCACCUGCCCAGUAAUCUCAUCGGGGAAACAAACAAAGUUGAGAAUGAGGUCAGCGGCAGGUGUCCUCUGCAUGGCAGGAUGCAGAGCAAGUGAAGAAGUUGGGAAUCUGCUUAAGAGUUUAAGUGAUCAUAGGACCUGAACAUACUUCAGUGCUCAUUCAAUCAACUGCCUUCAUUUUACAAAAGAGGAAAGAGAAGAAAGGUGGUAACUUGUCUGAGGUCACAUAGUGAGUUCAUGACAGCCUGGAUGAUAUUUGGGUCUUCCGACACCCAGUCCUGCGUACUGUAACUAUAAGAAAAUGCACACUCUGAAUGUCCAGGCCGGAUGGGACCUCUGGCCCAAUUUCAGGUAACAGACAUUUUCACAAUCUUUCCUGAAUGGAAGGACCAUGUCAAGUUAAUUCCAUUGAACCCCUGGAGGAAUGAAGAAGGGAUUCAGAAACUAGGUCUCUGAACCUAAGGUCAAAGCUUGAGUCGUUGUUCUUUCUUUCCAGGGCUGAUUUGGACUCUUCAUUUCAGAUGAUGAUCAGUAUGUAGGCACCUGUUGUGGAGAAGCCAGGUCACUGCCCCUGCUCUCUCUGGCUGGCUCUCAUUUGCUGGAGGCUUUGUAAUUUGAAACAAUGCACCUUAGGCUGAAUGUUGGGGAACUCUGAGCUGGGGGUAGGAGUGUCACAGAAAAGGGGGAAAGGAUAGCUAAACGCUAAUUAAGCAUUAAAUAUUUUUUUAAUUUGCAAUUUUCUCUGUGUAUUUUGGAACCUGUAACUUCCCCCUGACUCAGAUAAUUCCUUAGUCUCUGAGAAGCUCACGGGCCCUAGGCACUAUGCUUGUAGAGCCUGUGGGGUGAGG